UUUCCUACGGGACGCAGCAGUGGGGGAUAUUGCACAAUGGGGAAACCCUGAUGCAGCGACGCCGCGUGAGCGAUGAAGUAUUUCGGUAUGUAAAGCUCUAUCAGCAGGGAAGAAAAUGACGGUACCUGACUAAGAAGCCCCGGCUAACUACGUGCCAGCAGCCGCGGUAAUACGUAGCGGGCAAGCGUUAUCCGGAUUUACUGGGUGUAAAGGGAGCGUAGACGGCAGUGCAAGUCUGAAGUGAAAGCCCAGGGCUCAACCCUGGGACUGCUUUGGAAACUGUGGAGCUAGAGUGCUGGAGAGGG
RNAcentral lists this ribosomal RNA (305 nucleotides) under uncultured bacterium. Its description in RNAcentral is "bacterial SSU rRNA". It matches the Rfam family "Bacterial small subunit ribosomal RNA", at positions 335 to 658 of the family's 1533-position model. The record is from RNAcentral.